GUGACGGCUACGGCGAAGGGCUAUGCGUCAGCGCCAUAGCAUACGCCGGCGUUUGACGCAGAAGUAUAAAUCAGCCUUAAGUCAAGAACCAAAUGAAGCACCAGAGUACAGAUUAUGGAGGUAUCUGAAGUUGAACUAACUGGAAGCAGGGAACCAUACUAAUAAAGUUCCUUAAGCAGGUUCCUUGUAAAGAUUAACCCAGGGAAGGAUCGAAAGUGGAGAAGACCAGAUCAAGAAAGACUACAUCAAGAUCUGCGGUCAGUUCAAAGGAUGUUUUGCAUUGGACUGUUUUUUUUGGCUUUGACCCUUGCUUGCCCCUGACCUCACUCUUGGACUGCCCUGUUGGAUUUUCAGUUUAUUUAAUUAAAAAAAAAUUUUUUGGUUCUGGGUAGAUGCUAAUAAAUAUUUAAUUGUAAUUAUUUAAUGUAAAUCAAAGGCGGCAACACCAAGGCUCCAAAAAUACAAAUUUAUUAAAUUAAAAAGGCUGACACAGAGCGUAAAAUGUUUCGAGCCGCCGGCUCUUCAUCAGACAAAUAAUUUUUCGUUGUAAUUUUUUAAAUAAUAUGUUUUUGUUAAAUAUGCGAUUUCUGUGUUUGUUCUGUCUACUCGAACUUGUUUAUCUGGUUUCUGUAAUUAUCAUUUGUUUAUUUGACCCUUGCCUCGCCUCUGAUCUUGUUUUUGGAUUGCCCUUCAUAUAUCUUUUUAAUUAUUGGUUCUAGUUAUAUGGUUAUAAAAUAUUUGUUAAUUUAAUUAAUAUGCAUUAUAUUAAAAAAUACAUAUAAAUAUAUUUUCUGUGUUUUUUUCUGUAUCUAUUUAUCUAAUUUGUAUAUACAUUUGUGUUUGUAUGUUCUUCUUAUUCUGUAUAUCCACUUACCUAAUUUUACCUUUUAUAUAUAUAUAUUUAUUUGCAUUUAAUUUGUGAUUAUUCUGUAUGCAUUUAUUUAUCUAAUUCAUAUAUUUAUAUGUAUUGCAUUGAUCAAUCUGUUGUUGUUUUUUUUGUAUGCAUCUAUUUAUAUAAUUUAUAUAAAUUAUAUAUUUGUAUUUAUCAAUUUAUAUGCUUCCUUUGAAGCAAUUUUUUAAAUAAAGCAAUUUAAAC
RNAcentral lists this long non-coding RNA (1096 nucleotides) under Danio rerio (zebrafish). RNAcentral's name for it is "lncRNA si:dkeyp-9a1.2 (ENSDARG00000098050.3)". The record is from RNAcentral. Lineage: Eukaryota; Metazoa; Chordata; Actinopteri; Cypriniformes; Danionidae.